GGGCCGUUAGCUCAAUUGGUAGAGCUGCGGACUUUUAAUCCGUAGGUUCUGGGUUCGAGCCCCAGGCGGCCCACCA
RNAcentral lists this transfer RNA (76 nucleotides) under Amycolatopsis orientalis. RNAcentral describes it as "tRNA-Lys". It matches the Rfam family "tRNA". From Rfam's summary of the family: Transfer RNA (tRNA) molecules are approximately 80 nucleotides in length. RNAcentral also lists the same sequence under 78 other names. Lineage: Bacteria; Bacillati; Actinomycetota; Actinomycetes; Pseudonocardiales; Pseudonocardiaceae. The record is from RNAcentral.